Long non-coding RNA from Ictalurus punctatus (channel catfish), 1880 nucleotides. The record is from Ensembl. NCBI's taxonomy places the organism in Eukaryota, Metazoa, Chordata, Actinopteri, Siluriformes, Ictaluridae.
ACCUCCUUCACUGUGACUGACAGACAUAACGGCCACACCCCCUUUACUGGGACUGACACACAGAGGCCACACCCCCUUUACUGGGACUGACACACAGAGGCCACACCUUUACUGGGACUGACACAUAGAGGCCACACCUCCUUUACUGGACCUGACACAGAGGCCAUACCUCCUUUACUGGGACUGACACACAGAGGUUACACCUCCUUUAUUGGGACUGAUACUGUGCCUGUUGCUGUACCAAGGAUAUUAGAAUAAAUUUUUAUUUAUUUUCUCUAUUUUUUCUGUAGUUGUACCCGAGGAUUAAACCUCGACAGCGGUCCCUGGCGUAGCGCCCCCUGAUGGACAGGAGCCCCAGCUGAACAUUUUGCCCCCAUUUUCAUCUUUUAGUGCCACUAAAGAUAAGAGGAGUGUGGCAGCUAGAAACUGAGACUGAAGCUUGGAUUUAUUUAUCUGCCAGAAGAGAUUUGGUGAUCAGAGCUCCGUUUUCAGCCUGCAAAAUGGAUCUUAUUUGGAUCUUUUUUUUUUAAAAUCCUGUUCCCUUUCACCCACAUGUCUGUCGGGUGAAAACGCACCGGUUUUCCCGUUUCCUUUUGUACUAUUGUGUGUUUGAGGGACGUGAGAGUGAGGACAUUCUGAGACAGCUGAGGAAGAGAGAUUUGUAUAUUUUUGUUGGACAAAGGAAAGACUCGUUGGAUGGAUCGUUGUCUACUGAACGAAAGGAAGGAAGGAGUUAGAAAGUGCAGAGAGGCAGAGAUGUUGAAAUGAGAGCGCAGAGGAAAUGUUGAAGAGUGGUAUAAGAGAUGAAAAGUAGUAUGUUAAAUAAGUGAUGGUGGCAGUCAAGUCGUGAAAAAUGGUAUAAGUCUGCGUUUUCCAUCCAGGAGGAAAAAUAAAGGCAGCGCACACCUGCAUUUCUACGUUAAAGCCAAAUGUACACGAACAGCCGAGACGUGUUCGGCCACGAGGCUAAUGAGCCUCCAGUUUUGCAUAUCAUCUCACGUGCUCCACAAAAGUCAUUGUUCUGUUUUUAAAAAUAACAGAACGAAUCCUUUACAUAUGCAGUUAAACUGAUGGCCUUGUAGCUCAAGUGAAAAAAACGAAUGAAGCAAAUCCCAGACACCGACUGCGUCUCGGUAGAUUGUCUAUGUUUGGUGUUAAUAAAAUGUCAUUUAGCCUGAAUUGUUUCGUUUGCUGUAUUGAUCUCCUGUUUGUUUUUAAAAGCUCUUUAUAACGCAGACGCGAUGAAAUGCUUUAAGGGUUCUUGUGUAUGGGUGAUGUAUUUGGGAGCGAAUAAUAAUCAUAACAACAAUAAUAAUAAUAAUAAUAAUAAAAAUAAUAAUAAUAAUAAUAAUGCAGUGUAACAGGCCUGAUUCGGCAUCUGCAACAUCAUUCAUGCUACAUGCCAUGUAAAUGUGCACAAUAAAGACGUUCUCACAUUGGGAACCAUCAGAAUGACGGGUUGUUUAUUUUGUAUAAUAUAAUUAUUUUUCAAAUAAUUUUAGUAUGCAGUUAAUUCUAUGACGUGAUUAAUUGUGUUUUAAUUGUAAGAAAUAACCUGAUUUUGAGCAUCACAUCCCACAUUUGAGCAUUUCGGUCGAGGUUCGAAUUGACGGACUCGUUUAAAUCACACAUGAAGAGAAAAUACAUGUAAGGAAUGAACAGAAGUGGACUGAGUUUGAGUUUUAUACUCAGAUUUGGGAAUUUAAUCCAAUUGAAAAAAAGGACUUCUCUUGCUCUACGUUACACUUUAUGUAAUUACACAGAGAUCUGACUUUCUAUUCUGUACAGAUAUUUGAUUGAAGAUGUCAACAAUCAUUAGAGUUCUUAGAUAAAAAACAAAACAAAACAAAAACACUGACUGCAGCUUUAAUGUCAGAGCA